CUACUGCGAAGAGAUUUUCUACGAAACUUCUAGAAACAUACUGUAUUAAAAAAAUGCUAGCAGAAGAAAAUUUGACUUUUUAUUAGACCAAAAAAUAUUUAUACUUUUUUCAAUUAGAUUGCUUCUUCGUUAAAAAUUCAUAAAAUACCUGAUUUAAGUUAGCACACACGGACUAUAAAGAAAUAUAAGUGCUGUUGAGUGAAGUCAACAAUGUAUUUAAAUUUUAAAACACAAAAUUGUGUUUCCUAAUAGUUUUAAAACAUAUUUCGAUGAAGUCUUCAGGCAAUGUAAUUACUUACCGAUUUGUCAAUUGAAACAUUUCCAACUGACUUCAAUCUCUUUUUCCCUUCCUUUUGCUUAUUAAGUAGCUUUUGCUUCCUUGUUACAUCUCCCCCGUAGCAUUUUGCUGUGACAUUUUUUCGAAGAGCCGAGAUAGACUCCCUGGCGACUACUCGGUUGUCGAUGACAGCUUGAAGUAUUACUUCAUAUAGUUGUUUAGGAACUAACGGCUUCAACCGUUGAAUCCAUUCACGGCCUCGCUGAAGUGCAAGCGAGCGAUGCACUAUAGAACAAAGAGCAUCUACAGAUUUUCCACUCAUAAAAAUUGAUAGUCGCACCAAAUCAGCAGGAACGUAAUCCGAUUCUUCAUAAUCUAAGGUAGCGAAACCACUUGUUGUCCCUUUUAAUCGACCAAAGAAAUCUUCAACCAGGUGAGCAAGAGGUAAUUGAUAUUUUAUCAUGCAUCGCGAUUCGGACAUAUAAGUGCAGUCCUUUUGGAGUCCUCGACAAGAUUCACACAACUUGAUAACAUCUCCUAGGUACUCGCUCGGUGUUAUAAUUGUUGCAUCGACGGUGGGCUCUAAAAGCUCAGAUAUACCUUGAUGAUUUGUUGGAAAUAGAUUAGGAUUCGAUAUUACUUCUUCCCUUCCAUUUUUAUAUUUUAUGCGAUACGGUACUGUGGGAGAAGUGAUUAAUAAUUCCUUUCCAUAUUCAUCCUUUAAUCUGUCAAUAAAGACAGAAAGAUGCAACGUUCCAAGAAAACCUAAACGCCAUCCCAUCCCAAGAGCAGACGAGUUUUCUUUUUGUACAUUAAUAGCACGAUCAUUAAGGGCCAAUUGUUCGAUGUUAUCAUUUAGUCUCUCGUAAUCCGAGCCAUCCAAAGGAAAGGCGCCAACAUAAACCAUUGAUUGGGGAAUAGAGAAACCAGGUAAUGCUUCAACAUUAGAUCCGAUGGUUGAAUAUGUAUCCCCGACAAUUGCUUCAUCAAUAUUUUUCAUAUUCCAGAUAAUAUAACCAACUUGUCCUGCUCGAAGACGCGAAACUUCGGUCAUGUCAGGAUACAUAAUUCCAACUUGUUGUACUUCAUACUUUCUACCUGUGUUUACACUCAUCACCUUUCCUCCUUUUUUUAUAAAGCCCUCCAUAAUUCGCACCAAUCCUAUAACUCCCUGGUAGCUAUUGUACCAACUGUCUAUCAACAGGCAGCGUAACGGAGCAUUUUCUGACCCCUUGGGAGGAGGAAUUUUUUGUAUGAUUUCCGGUAGAAUUUGUUCGACAUUUUUUCCCGUUUUAGAAGAGACUAGGAUGGGCUUGGACAUAGGGAUAUCAAAAGUUUGCUGAACUUGAAUCAAAGUUCUAUCCACAUCCGCAGUUGGCAAAUCAACCUUGUUCAGAACUGGAAUUAUGACCAAGUUUUGGGAAAAUGCCAUAUAAAAAUUUGACAACUAAAUAAUACGUUAGCUUAGAGUUAAUAUAUUGAUACCUAGGUUAUUUGAUGUUGCUUUGCUCAUCAUCGAACCUCAUAUUUCAUACAGUUUGUGCUUGUAUGCCUUGAGAGGCAUCAACUAAUAAGAUACAUCCUUCACAAGCGGCCAAACUAUGCAUGACUUCGGCACGAAAGUCAACAUGCCCGGGCGUAUCGAUUAAAUUUAGUAAAUAUGAUUGUCCAUGAUAAUAGUAAAUCAUGCUGCAGGUCUGCGCCUUAACUGUUAUUCCUCUUCGCCUUUCUACUUCCAACUUAUCCAAAAAUUGAUUUCUAAAGUUAUGUUCAUUAAUGACACCGGUGAGUUUUAGUAUGCAGUCACUCAGCGUUGAUUUCCCAUGGUCGAUAUGAGCAAUCACAGCCCAGUUUCGAACUCUAUUUUGUGGAAU
Molecule: unclassified non-coding RNA, 2151 nt
Filed under: Schizosaccharomyces pombe (fission yeast)
Lineage: Eukaryota; Fungi; Ascomycota; Schizosaccharomycetes; Schizosaccharomycetales; Schizosaccharomycetaceae
Description: antisense RNA (predicted)
Source: RNAcentral